Molecule: non-coding RNA, 323 nt
Organism: Biomphalaria pfeifferi
Lineage: Eukaryota; Metazoa; Mollusca; Gastropoda; Planorbidae
Source: the annotation of a GenBank genome assembly
UACUCCCACUUGUCCACAAAUGAGAUUGGACCAUAGCACUAUGAGUAUGCUAUAACCAUAAAAGCUAUACAUGUAUAUUAUCAUUUUUGCAUCAAUUUUUUAUUACUUUUUUUAUUCUCUCGUACCUGGAUUGUAUGUCAAUGUUAUCAUUUCCUUGUAUUUAAAGUUUCCCCUUUAGACCAUGCGGUCUAUAGGGCAGAUGAUAUGAGGUUCAUCUGUUUCUGUGGCCCACGGUUAACGAGGGUGUCCUAUCGACCAACAUCCUUUACUUUUCUCCAACUAAUGUCAUGUAGCAACAAAAGCUUGGUGGACUCAAAAAGACU